Molecule: ribosomal RNA, 253 nt
Filed under: uncultured bacterium
Lineage: Bacteria
Description: partial 16S ribosomal RNA
Rfam family: Bacterial small subunit ribosomal RNA
Source: RNAcentral
UACGAAGGGGGCUAGCGUUGCUCGGAAUCACUGGGCGUAAAGGGUGCGUAGGCGGCUUCUUAAGUCAGGGGUGAAAUCCUGGAGCUCAACUCCAGAACUGCCUUUGAUACUGAGGAGCUUGAGUCCGGGAGAGGUGAGUGGAACUGCGAGUGUAGAGGUGAAAUUCGUAGAUAUUCGCAAGAACACCAGUGGCGAAGGCGGCUCACUGGCCCGGUACUGACGCUGAGGCGCGAAAGCGUGGGGAGCAAACAGG